GUGUGAAUUGCAUCAGUAUUGAAAAUAAAAACUGAAAAUACAAACCGAUAUAAAGACCAGCGUACUGAAUGUCGAGUUGAUAAUACUGCAAUGACCUGACUAUAUCAUAAAGGAACAAUUGUCCAGACAGAGGAUUGAGUUUACGAAUUGGCGGUUUCUUAAACCAACUUUACACAGGCUACUGUUUGGCCGCAGCCCACGCCAAAUAAAUGAAAGAUAACCCACAAGCCAAUCGUGACCUUCUCUUGUGAAGCCCAGACGUAAGAGAGAGAACAAAGGCUAAACCUGGUCUUAACUUCCAAUGCUCCAUCCCCCUGCCCAACCUCCCUCCACGCCACUCCGCCAGGAUGCCCCGCAUCAGAACAUUCCAGGCAUUCCCGUGAUGGGCAGAUAGCAGGUUGAUUGGCAUGUCGGACUCCGCGAACACUGGGUACUGUGUUGUUUCCCAGCCCAGAGUUGAGGACGCUGUCCCUUCCCACUGACCUCCACUAGGUCUCCUCUGGUCCUGGCCUGCUCAGUGAUGUCAUCCCCCGGGCCCUUGGCUGCACCAGUCUGGGUCUGGGAAUCCAAGAUGGUCACCCAGUCUCUUCUGUUAGCUUCCAGCCAACCACCUGCAGGAAGAGUCCACUCAGCAGGUUAAUGCUCUCUGGUCCAUCUUCUAUGGUCUCCUCUUUGACCAGCAGCAGAUCAAGCUUCCCAUCCUCCA
Molecule: long non-coding RNA, 706 nt
Organism: Oncorhynchus keta (chum salmon)
Lineage: Eukaryota; Metazoa; Chordata; Actinopteri; Salmoniformes; Salmonidae
Exons: 3
Source: RefSeq, a predicted model, not a curated record